UUAACUAUUAUGUAGUACUCAGACAUCACUAAAAUUCAGAGUUUGGUUCUCUGGCAGGCACAUGCAGGCAGAGCCCACAGUGGAGACCACGGUCUGCCAAAGCAACAAGAGUAAAUAAACACGGGUUGGGGCUUGGGUAUCCCGAUCUCGGCUCUACGCCCUAGCAUCCAAGUCCAAGUGUGGCACGUCUGAGGUGCUGCACUUAAACCGGGCCCCCGCCUGCAACCUAGUAGGCACAAGUGCCUCCAAAACUACAGGUCGAGAGGGGCGCAUAGUUCAAGAACGGACCGUCUACCUCUUUAAUGAUCCUUCCGCAGGUUCACCUACGGAAA
This 332-nucleotide unclassified non-coding RNA is filed under the name uncultured fungus. RNAcentral describes it as "sequence contains ITS1". Lineage: Eukaryota; Fungi. The record is from RNAcentral.